GUUUGUCCCCAGUCUGUCUCUCUCUGUGUUUGUGUUUGGGCGUAUGCUGGGCGUGGCCUCCUGGUUUCACUCUCCCAUUCAACCUGAGUACUUGCAGCUGAUCUACUAAUCAACUCUAUAAGCCACAGCAGUAUAAAGCCCUGGUUCAUCUCUCUCGACUUUGCCAGAUCAUUCAGUCACCAAUGCGCUCCCAGUACACCUGCUACGUCAGCCUCAUCCUCAUCUGCUGUUUGCCUCAUCUGCUGUUUGCCAGUUUGGAUUGGGGAUCUCAUGUUCGCUCUGCCCUGACUUGAGCCCCUCAGCCUGCUUCAGUCCUUCGCCCUGCACCGCUGCCAUUCCCAGCCCCUUUGUCGUAUCCAAAACCAAAUAAUUUGUCAGCUAAGCCAUCAGAUCCAUCUUCAACUCAAGCUACAAUGAACUGUCCUUAACCAUCCCUGUGUCUCCUGGUCUGUGGGUGCAUUUGGGUCCUAAAUUGAACUAUUAUAACAAGUAAUGUCUUUCUUGAUGAACCCAGUUUGUGACAUGGUAGAAAAAUAAAUCUUUUUCAUUUA
Long non-coding RNA from Thunnus maccoyii (southern bluefin tuna), 551 nucleotides. RefSeq lists it as uncharacterized. Lineage: Eukaryota; Metazoa; Chordata; Actinopteri; Scombriformes; Scombridae. The record is from RefSeq and is a predicted model, not a curated record. The transcript has 2 exons.